AUUAAAACAACUUUACACACAUAAACAUGUACCGUAUAAUAUAACGCAAUCAAAUAUUUUACAUCGCACAGUUUAUAUUAAAUGUAUAAUUUUUAUAAACAAUAAAAUAAUAAUAAAAAAAAUUAUACAAUAAAUAAAAUAAAAUCAUAUUUUUGAAAUAUGUUCAUACAAUAUAAAUUAUUGAGUUUAUAAAUCAUAAACUUA
Molecule: non-coding RNA, 204 nt
Organism: Cinara cedri
Lineage: Eukaryota; Metazoa; Arthropoda; Insecta; Hemiptera; Aphididae
Source: the annotation of a GenBank genome assembly